GAUGAACGCUGACAGAAUGCUUAACACAUGCAAGUCAUUGGCGAAGCUGCGCUUGCGCAGUCUAGCCAAGGCGGACGGGUGAGUAACGCGUAAGGAACUUGCCCUGCAGACAGGGAUAACAGACGGAAACGACUGAUAACACCUGGUAUUGUCAGGCUGGCGCAUGCCGGCCUGAUGAAAGGAGACGCUGCAGGAGAGCCUUGCGUCCUAUUAGCUAGUUGGUGGGGUAACGGCCCACCAAGGCGAUGAUAGGUAGCCGGCCUGAGAGGGUGAACGGCCACAAGGGGACUGAGAUACGGCCCUUACUCCUACGGGAGGCAGCAGUGGGGAAUAUUGGACAAUGGGGGCAACCCUGAUCCAGCAAUUCUGUGUGCACGAAGAAGGUUUUCGGAUUGUAAAGUGCUUUCAGCAGGGAAGAAGAAAGUGACGGUACCUGCAGAAGAAGCGACGGCCAAAUACGUG
Molecule: ribosomal RNA, 462 nt
Filed under: uncultured bacterium
Lineage: Bacteria
Description: partial 16S ribosomal RNA
Rfam family: Bacterial small subunit ribosomal RNA
Source: RNAcentral